GUCCCUAUCGUCUAGCCCGGUUAGGACAUAAGAUUUUCAUUCUUACGACCGGGGUUCGAAUCCCCGUGGGGACG
Molecule: transfer RNA, 74 nt
Filed under: Opitutales bacterium
Lineage: Bacteria; Pseudomonadati; Verrucomicrobiota; Opitutia; Opitutales
Description: tRNA-Glu
Rfam family: tRNA
About the family: Transfer RNA (tRNA) molecules are approximately 80 nucleotides in length. Their secondary structure includes four short double-helical elements and three loops (D, anti-codon, and T loops). Further hydrogen bonds mediate the characteristic L-shaped molecular structure. tRNAs have two regions of fundamental functional importance: the anti-codon, which is responsible for specific mRNA codon recognition, and the 3' end, to which the tRNAs corresponding amino acid is attached (by aminoacyl-tRNA synthetases). tRNAs cope with the degeneracy of the genetic code in two manners: having more than one tRNA (with a specific anti-codon) for a particular amino acid; and 'wobble' base-pairing, i.e. permitting non-standard base-pairing at the 3rd anti-codon position.
Source: RNAcentral